CUGGACGGCGUGCCUAACACAUGCAAGUCGAGCGCGUCUGAUUUGAUGCUUGCAUUGAUGAAAGAUGAGCGGCGGACGGGUGAGUAACGCGUGGGUAACCUGCCCUAUACACAUGGAUAACAUACUGAAAAGUUUACUAAUACAUGAUAAUAUAUAUUUACGGCAUCGUAGAUAUAUCAAAGUGUUAGCGGUAUAGGAUGGACCCGCGUCUGAUUAGCUAGUUGGUGAGAUAACUGCCCACCAAGGCGACGAUCAGUAGCCGACCUGAGAGGGUGAUCGGCCACAUUGGAACUGAGACACGGUCCAAACUCCUACGGGAGGCAGCAGUGGGGAAUAUUGCACAAUGGGCGCAAGCCUGAUGCAGCAACGCCGCGUGAACGAUGAAGGUCUUCGGAUCGUAAAGUUCUGUUGCAGGGGAAGAUAAUGACGGUACCCUGUGAGGAAGCCCCGGCUAAAUACGUGCCAGCAGCCGCGGUAAUACGUAUGGACCGAGCGUUGUCCGGAAUCAUUGGGCGUAAAGGGUACGUAGGCGGCCUAGUAAGUUAGAAGUUAAAGAAUAUAGCUCAACUAUAUAAAGCUUUUAAAACUGUAGGCUUGAGAGAUGGAAGGGAAAGUGGAAUUCCUAGUGUACGGUGAAAUGCGCAGAUAUUUCGGAACGAAUACCGGUGGCGACGGCGACUUUCUGGUCAAUCAUCUGACGCUGAGGUACACACGUGGAUUAGCAAACAGGAUAAAUACC
This 739-nucleotide ribosomal RNA is filed under the name uncultured Clostridia bacterium. RNAcentral's name for it is "bacterial SSU rRNA". It matches the Rfam family "Bacterial small subunit ribosomal RNA", at positions 36 to 786 of the family's 1533-position model. Lineage: Bacteria; Bacillati; Bacillota; Clostridia. The record is from RNAcentral.